This 1156-nucleotide long non-coding RNA is filed under the name Ananas comosus (pineapple). RNAcentral describes it as "long non-coding RNA (ACOM_LNC010731)". Lineage: Eukaryota; Viridiplantae; Streptophyta; Magnoliopsida; Poales; Bromeliaceae. The record is from RNAcentral.
UUAAUUUAAAUUUUAGGAAUUUUAGAUAUAAUACUAUUUCUAAAUAUGUUGAAUUUAAAUAUUAAAUAUUUAAAUUUUAAAAAUUAAAUUUAAAUUAGAGAAAUUUUGUAUUACUAUUUUUUAACAAAAUCGGUAAAUGUUUAAAUUUAACAUAUUUAGUAUGUUUAAGAAAUUUUUAAAUUUCUCUAGUUUAGACAUUAAUUUUGUAUCACUAAUUUUAAAAAAAAUUGAAUGUAGAUAAAUAUUUAAAUUCAACAUAGUUAAUAUGUUUAAAAAAUUUUAGGAUUUUUUAAAUUUAGACAAUAAUUUUGUAUAACUAUUUAAUUUUUUUUAAUAUUGGUAAAUAUUUAAAUUCUUCGUAUUUAAUAUGUUGGGGCAAUUGCUUAUAUAUUUCAUAGGUUUAGUUUGGUAUUGAGCUCUAUCUAACACCACUAGAUAAAAUGGAGUUGAGGAAAAAGCAUAUAGAGAUAUGCUUCUGCGUUCUCCGAUGGGACUGCAGAAAAUAUAUCGUAAACGACUUAUCGCGAUAUGCAGAACGCAAUAUACCGCACGUAACGCAAUCUCCUCGUAAUCCCAAACGAAGCCUUAAAAUUUUUCAACUUUUUGAUUUGCCCCUCUUAGAGGGCUAAUAUUAAAAAUACUCUUUUAACAUUCCAAAUUAUUUCAAAUAUAUUCCGAGAGUUAAAUUCUAUUAGUAAACUAUUAGCAACAACCGUUAUCUCUGUCAAAUUACUAUUUUGCCCUUUUGAAUAUAUCCUUCUACCGUCACCUACUUUUCUAUUUGUCCUUAAUAUAGUGGCAAAAGUAGUAUUUAAACUUAACAAGUACUAACAGUAGGGAUAUUUUUGAAUAACGGGGAACUAUACGAGGGGCAUAUUUGAAACAAAAAAAAAGUAGAGGUAAAUUGGAUAUUUCAAAAGUUUUCAGGGAUGUAUUAGAUAUUAUCCCUAAUAUGUUUAAGAAAAUUUGAAUUACUUUAGCUUAGACAUUAAUUUUGUAUUACUAAUUUAAAAAAAUUAAAUGUGGGGUAAAUAUGUAAAUUCAAUAUAUUUAAUAUGUUUAAAAAAAAUUUAAAUUUUUUUAAUUUAGACAACUAUUUAAAAAAAAUUGAAUGUGGAUAAAUGAUUAGGAAUAUAGGGUAUAGGUGAAAUUUAUU